RNAcentral lists this ribosomal RNA (2763 nucleotides) under Pogostemon cablin (patchouli). Its description in RNAcentral is "bacterial LSU rRNA". The stretch from base 1332 to 2763 matches the Rfam family "Bacterial large subunit ribosomal RNA". Lineage: Eukaryota; Viridiplantae; Streptophyta; Magnoliopsida; Lamiales; Lamiaceae. The record is from RNAcentral.
UAGCUGACACCAAGCACAUAGCUAAGCUGGCGGGAAAAGGCGAACAGAGACCUAAAAUAUAGACAGAGGCUAGGAAGAUCUCGUAUCAAGGCUGUCUGUAUGGAAAAAACAAGGCAAGUUGGAAGCAGCCAUCUUUUCUGCAGGGGAUAAACAAUCAACAUCAACUAUAUGAGAGGCUAAUCAAUUACGAGUGGAAUUUGCGGGAAGAAGCGUAAGAAAAGGUAUCAAAUAACGAGCCGGGGAGGAGACCUGAAGAAUGCUCCCUCUCAGGCGAAUAAAGUAUAAAGACCUGAUAGGGUAAACAAAGAAAGGAGAAGUAAAAAAUAAGAUCUCACUCAAGGGAGGAUAGGAGUAAAGCAUCCCGAGGUUGGACGAGAUGAUAGCAAACUCUCCCACAGGUACGAAUCCAGAUCUACUAGUCAUCUCCAAAAAGAAAAUGUCUGAAAGUCGGGGCAGUAGGCCCGAUAGCGAACAAUGAGCGAAAGCCCGAUCCAGCAAUAAAGCGUAUAGAAGAAGACUGGAUGUCCAUCAGGCUCUAUGUUUAAGGCAAACCAUGUAAAAUAAUUGGUCUCGUACCCAACCCAAGUGUAUAUCCCUAUAAGAGACUCAGUGUGCAAAAAAUGGGCUUCCAGAGUCAAUCCUCGUCCGUAUAGCCAAGAGUGGAUCACGAGGCAUAGUCAUGCCAGAAAGGUGGUUAUGUAAAGGAUCUAGUAGGAAGCAAAGAACAGUGAAAGCGUCGAUCCUAAUCGGUACAACGAGAAGGAGUAUGUCUGAUAGACAUCUAAUGCUAAUGGUGAUUCCCCAUGCCCCAAAAUCCAGAGGUAUGCUCCCGGCAAUUGAAGUAAAGAUGCAACUGGUGAAUCUUUUUAUGGAUCUGGAAAAGGAUAUAGAGAGUCCCUCCUCGUAUUCGUUCAUUCUAGCUAGUCUUCUGAUUUUCUCUCUUCUCGUAUGAUAUGCCUUCGGAAAAGAGCUAGAAAUCGUCCGCUCUGGAAUGAUAUGAUCUCGAGUAAUCGAAUCGAACACUGUACCAUUGAGAAUUAUCUAUAGUUGGAAAAGAGUUCUGUAAGAGAUUCUUUUAGGUGUCCUGAAGGAAAUCCUCAUCUUCUGGUGACAUGCGGAUUCUCUUGUAGAUCAUGUAUCCAUCCAUGAAGGACAUGACUGAAUACCCCGCAUUAAAGGUCCUAGUCUUGAAGCCCCCUUUUGGUCGAUACAAGUGAAUUCCUUCUAUUAAGAUAGAAGAAGGACGUUACAUGGUCAGAGUCACGGUACCUUUAUAUUAUAAAGGAUUAGUCUUGAGGUGUCCAAUUGGUUAGUUCAAGCCGACAUAACAUAGUAGAAGUAGAUCGAUAUUCCCUUCCUCUCCUGGUAUGCUUCCAGAAUGGAGUUCAGUUCGAUAUCUUUUUUAUACAAAAAAUUGUAUCGAUGUGUCACAAAUGCUUUCCCGAGUCAGUAAUAACUAUAAUAUAAUUGGAAACUUCCAGGAAAAAACUUUGAAUUGGGAGGGCGAUCCUCCCGGUGAACUGACCGUACCCCAAACUGACACAGGUGAACAAGUAGAGUAUAUUAGGGCGCUUGAGAGAACCAUGUUGAAGGAACUCGGCAAAAUGACCCCGUAACUUCGGGAGAAGGGGUGCUCUCCUAUCUUUUGAUUAGGAAAACGACACAUACCAGGGGGCAGCGACUGUUUAUUAAAAACACAGGACUCUGCUAAGUGGUAACACGAUGUAUAGAGUCUGACACCUACCCGGUGCUGGAAGGUCGGAAGGAGAAGUGUUAGUUGCUUUGAAUGGAAACCCUGGUAAACGGCGGCCGUAACUCUAACGGUCCUAAGGUAGUGAAAUUCCUUGUCGCAUAAGUAGCAACCUGCAUGAAUGGUGUAACGACUGCCCCGCUGUUUCCGACAUGGACCCAAUGAAAUUGAAUUCUCCGUGAAGAUGCGGAGUACCAACGGCUAGACGGUAAGACCCCGUGCACCUUAACUAUAGCUUCGCAGUGACAACCUUGAUCGAAUGUGUAGGAUAGGUGGGAGGUGAUGACACACAACGACCAAUCCUGAAAAACCACUCUUUCGUCUAAGGAUGCCUAACCGCCGCACCGAUCAUUCGGGGGAGGCGGGACACUGUGAGGUGGGUAGUUUAUCUGGGGUGGAUGCCUCUUAAAGAGUAACGGAGGUGUGCGAAGGUAGGCUCAAGCUAAGAUUCUGCUCGUGAGCAUAAUUGUAUAAGCUGCCUGACUGUGAGACCGACUGGUCGAGCAGGGACGAAACUCAGCAUAGUGAUCUGGGAGUCCCGUGUGGAAGGGCUCUCGCUCAACGGAUCAAAGGUAUGCUGGGGAUAACAGACUGAUGACUCCCAAGAGCUCUUAUCGACGGAGUCGUUUGACACCUCGAUGUCGACUCAUCACAUUCUGGUGUUGAAGAAGGUCCCAAGGGUUCGGUUUUUCACCGAUUUAAGUGGUACGUGAGUUGGGUUUAGAACGUCGUGAGACAGUUCGAUUCCUAUCUACCGUUGAUGUUAAAGGGAGAACUGCGAGGAGCCAACCCUAGUACGAGAGGACUGGGUUGGGCCAACCUAUUGUCUACUGGUUGUUAUGCCAAUAGCAGCGCCGGGCAGGUAAGUUGGUAUGGAAGAACUACUGCGCAGCGGGAAAUCCUUCUCUAUACAAGUUCUCGGACGAGGUUUUUGAACAGAAUUUCAAUAGGCGAGAGGUGUAAGCACCGCGAGGUGUGAAGCAAUCUCGUACUAAACGAAAGGACUUUCAACU